This 1219-nucleotide ribosomal RNA is filed under the name uncultured archaeon. RNAcentral describes it as "bacterial SSU rRNA". It matches the Rfam family "Archaeal small subunit ribosomal RNA", at positions 87 to 1307 of the family's 1478-position model. The record is from RNAcentral.
GGCUCAGUAACACGUAGUCAAUCUAACCUAUGGACGGGGAUAACCUCGGGAAACUGAGAAUAAUACCCGACAGAUCAUUAUGCCUGGAAUGGUUUAUGGUUCAAAUGAAUUUCGCCAUAGGGUGGGACUGCGGUCUAUCAGCUUGUUGGUGAGGUAAUGGCCCACCAAGGCUAUAACAGAUACGGACUCUGAGAGGAGAGGCCCGGAGAUGGGUACUGAGACACGGACCCAGGCCCUAUGGGGCGCAGCAGGCGAGAAAACUUUGCAAUGUGCGAAAGCACGACAAGGUUAAUCCGAGUGGUUCCUGCUAAAGGAAUCUUUUGUUAGUCAUAACACCACUGAUGAAUAAGGGGUGGGCAAGUUCUGGUGUCAGCCGCCGCGGUAAAACCAGCACCUCAAGUGGUCAGGAGGAUUAUUGGGCCUAAAGCAUCCGUAGCCGGCUCUGUAAGUUUUCGGUUAAAUCUAUGUGCUUAACAUAUGGGCUGCCGAGAAUACUGCAAAGCCAGGGAGUGGGAGAGGUAGACGGUACUCCGUAGGAAGGGGUAAAAUCCUUUGAUCUAUGGAUGACCACCUGUGGCGAAGGCGGUCUACCAGAACACGUCCGACGGUGAGGGAUGAAAGCUGGGGGAGCAAACCGGAUUAGAUACCCGGGUAGUCCCCAGCUGUAAACGAUGCAAACUCAGUGAUGCAUUGGCUUGUGGCCAGUGCAGUGCCGCAGGGAAGCCGUUAAGUUUGCCGCCUGGGAAGUACGUACGCAAGUAUGAAACUUAAAGGAAUUGGCGGGGGAGCACCACAAGGGGUGAAGCCUGCGGUUCAAUUGGAGUCAACGCCAGAAAUCUUACCCGGAGAGACAGCAGAAUGAAGGUCAAGCUGAAGACUUACCAGACAAGCUGAGAAGUGGUGCAUGGCCGUCGCCAGCUCGUGCCGUGAGAUGUCCUGUUAAGUCAGGUAACGAGCGAGAUCCUUGCCUCUAGUUGCCACCAUUACUCUCAGGAGUAGUGGGGCGAAUUAGCGGGACUGCCGUAGUUAAUACGGAGGAAGGAAAGGGCCACGGCAGGUCAGUAUGCCCUGAAACUUUGGGGCCACACGCGGGCUGCAAUGGUAGUGACAAUGGGUUCCGAAUCCGAAAGGUGGAGGUAAUCCUCAAACGCUACCACAGUUAUGACUGAGGGCUGCAACUCGCCCUCACGAAUAUGGAAUCCCUAGUAACUGCGCGUCA